GAUGAACGCUAGCGGCAGGCUUAACACAUGCAAGUCGAGGGAGAGGUUACCUUCGGGUAACGAAAACCGGCGCACGGGCGCGUAACGCGUAUACAAUUAGCCUUUCACAUAGGGAUGGAUCGAAGCAAUUUGGUUUAAUAACUAACGGAAUAUAAGAGCGGCAUCGUUUUUAUGUUAGAGAUAUGGCGGUGAAAGAUGAGGAUGCGUUCGAUUAGCUAGUUGGAGAGGUAACGGCUUCUCACGGCGACGAUGGAUAGGGGUUCUGAGAGGGAGGUCACCUACACUGGUACUGGGCUACGGUCGAGACUCGUACGGGAGGCAGCACUUAGGAAUAGUAGACGUUGGUCGUAAGACUGAUCCAGCCAUGCCGCGUGCAGGAUGAAGGUCCUAUGGAUUGUAAACUGCUGUUGUGAGAGAAGAAUUAGCAUUACGUGUACUGUGAUUACGGUUACUUACUAAUAAGCAACGGCUAACUCCGUG
This 480-nucleotide ribosomal RNA is filed under the name uncultured bacterium. Its description in RNAcentral is "partial 16S ribosomal RNA". It matches the Rfam family "Bacterial small subunit ribosomal RNA", at positions 28 to 507 of the family's 1533-position model. The record is from RNAcentral.